This 30-nucleotide non-coding RNA is filed under the name Homo sapiens (human). The record is from RNAcentral. Lineage: Eukaryota; Metazoa; Chordata; Mammalia; Primates; Hominidae.
UAGCCUGGCCAACAUGAUGAAACCCCUGUC